UAAGCGGAGGAAAAGAAACUAACUAGGAUUCCCUUAGUAACGGCGAGUGAACCGGGAUGAGCUCAAAUUUAAAUCUGGCGUCUUUCAGGCGUCCGAGUUGUAAUCUAUAGAGGCGUUUUCCGCGCCGGACCGCGUCCAAGUCUCUUGGAAUAGAGUAUCAAAGAGGGUGACAAUCCCGUACUUGACGCGACAACCGGUGCUCUGUGAUACGUUCUCAAUGAGUCGAGUUGUUUGGGAAUGCAGCUCUAAAUGGGUGGUAAAUUCCAUCUAAGGCUAAAUAUUGGCGAGAGACCGAUAGCGAACAAGUACCGUGAGGGAAAGAUGAAAAGCACUUUGGAAAGAGAGUUAAACAGCACGUGAAAUUGUUAAAAGGGAAACGAUUGAAGUCAGUCGUGUGAAAGGUAUUCAGCCGUCUCUGGCGGUGUAUUUGCCUUUCACGGGUCAACAUCAGUUUGAUCCGGUAGAAAAAGGCAGGAGGAAGGUGGCACCCUCGGGUGUGUUAUAGCCUCUUGUCAUAUGUGCCGGACCAGACUGAGGAACGCAGCUUGCCGCAAGGCCGGGGUUCGCCCACGUACAAGCUUAGGAUGUUGACAU
RNAcentral lists this small RNA (594 nucleotides) under Vishniacozyma victoriae. RNAcentral's name for it is "eukaryotic LSU rRNA". It matches the Rfam family "Eukaryotic large subunit ribosomal RNA", at positions 47 to 632 of the family's 3401-position model. Lineage: Eukaryota; Fungi; Basidiomycota; Tremellomycetes; Tremellales; Bulleribasidiaceae. The record is from RNAcentral.